UCUUGAGCAAGGAGCACGGCAGACAGAGCCUCUGAGACACGAGAGCCUGGAGUGUAAGAAACACAGUAGAGGCCACUAAGUCGAGAACGCAGGAGCUGGAAGGACUGGUAGGAAAUGGGAGGUGGGGACAUGGAGGGAUGCGGACAGGUCCUGCACAGUCAGAACUGUGGCCCCUUCUCUGCAGGAAAUGGGCAGCCUUCGGAAGACUGAGCACACGGAAGGAUAUGACUAACCCUUUAAAAGGGUCAUUCUGACUCCUGGGUGAAGAACAGACUAGGAAGGGCUGAGAAGGAGGCAGGAGGCCAUCCACUGUCAUAUGGGAUGUGGAGUGUGACCCGGAAAGGUCAAGUACUGCCCUGUCUAGAAGCUCCAAUACAAUAUUGACUAGAAGCGGCAAGAGUGGACAUCCUUGUCUUGCUCCUGAUUUCAGGGAGGAGGCAUCCAGUCUUUCACCUUUGGGUAUGAUGAUAGCUGUGGGUGCUUAAAAAAUAGGUUUUAUCAGGCUGGGCACAGUGGCUCACGCCUGUAAUCCCAACCCUUUGGGAGGUCGAGGCGGGCGGAUCACUUGAGGUCCAGAGUUUGAGACCAGCCUGGCCAACAUGGAGA
Molecule: long non-coding RNA, 606 nt
Filed under: Pan troglodytes (chimpanzee)
Lineage: Eukaryota; Metazoa; Chordata; Mammalia; Primates; Hominidae
Description: long non-coding RNA NONPTRT017681
Source: RNAcentral